RNAcentral lists this long non-coding RNA (1324 nucleotides) under Homo sapiens (human). RNAcentral describes it as "long non-coding RNA NONHSAT186070.1". The record is from RNAcentral. Lineage: Eukaryota; Metazoa; Chordata; Mammalia; Primates; Hominidae.
AUUUUAUGACUCUAAAAAAUAUGUUUCUUUGAUAGGUGGCAAGAAGACUUUCUUUAAUAAAACAUCCAGAGUGCUCCACCAUGAGUGGUGGGAAAGCCAUAGAACAUUUGGCCAAACAAGGAAAUAGAUUUCAUUUUGACAUCAAACCUCCCUUGCAUCAUGCUAAAAAUUGUGAUUUUUCUUUUACUGGACUUCAACACGUUACUGAUAAAAUAAUAAUGAAAAAGGAAAAAGAGGAAGGUAUAUUUCUAAUUAGUAAAGUUGAACAGAUAAAUAUUCCUGGAUUGUGCCUAAAAAUAGCUGCUCAUUUCUGCAGGUAUUGAGAAGGGGCAAAUCCUGUCUUCAGCAGCAGACAUUGCUGCCACAGUACAGCACACAAUGGCAUGUCAUCUUGUGAAAAGAACACAUCGGGCUAUUCUGUUUUGUAAGCAGAGAGACUUGUUACCUCAAAAUAAUGCAGUACUGGUUGCAUCUGGUGGUGUCGCAAGUAACUUCUAUAUCCGCAGAGCUCUGGAAAUUUUAACAAAUGCAACACAGUGCACUUUGUUGUGUCCUCCUCCCAGACUAUGCACUGAUAAUGGCAUUAUGAUUGCAUGGUAAGCCACAGGAUAUACGUGCUUCACUCAUAACUAUGUAAAUAUUAAUUGCCAUUUUAUCAUACUAAGCCUUCUUCCUUCAGAUCUUGGAGCUAUUGAUUUUAUUUUAAUGCUUCUUAUUUAGGAAUGGUAUUGAAAGACUACGUGCUGGCUUGGGCAUUUUACAUGACAUAGAAGGCAUCCGCUAUGAACCAAAGUAUGUGGUAUCAUUCAUGAUCUUUAUGCAAGUUACAUUACUUAAGACAAAGCCUGGAUUUUGCCUUUAUAUAUGAGGUUUUCAUUGACAUUCUGGUGGUACUUGAAGGAAAGUUACAUAAAUUUCUUUCAUGAACCUAGUUAAGGUUGAUACCAUAUGAGAAAUAUUUUUGCUACAGUAUCAAAUUAUAAAAAUCUUGGCAAGUUUAGGUGAGUUAGAAACAGGUCAUGAGUAAGGGUGAUGAAUUCCCUCCUUUGGAACUAGAAUGUAAACUAUGUCCAUGACCUGGACUUUUGCAAUGUCAAGAACAUCUCAGAACCAGCAAGUAUGCUGGGAAAUUUAAGGAAAACAUGCAGAAAGCAUUCAGGUGUGAGAGUGGGUUGUGAUUAUGCUCUUACACAGGCAGUUGAGAAUUGGCCGAAAGAUAGCUGUUUCCUGCAAGCCUUAUUUCCUCUCCCAAAUCAAAGUUCCAGUGAAUAGCACAGUUUUUUCUUUACUUUUUUUCUUUUUUUUUUUAGAGUCUUAGUGUCAC